This 428-nucleotide ribosomal RNA is filed under the name uncultured bacterium. RNAcentral's name for it is "bacterial SSU rRNA". It matches the Rfam family "Bacterial small subunit ribosomal RNA", at positions 355 to 776 of the family's 1533-position model. The record is from RNAcentral.
UCGAGAAUUUUUCUCAAUGGGGGAAACCCUGAAGGAGCGACGCCGCGUGGGGGAUGAAGGACUUCGGUUCGUAAACCCCUGUCACCUGGGAACAAACGUUUCAACCUAACACGUUGAAGCCUGAUAGUACCAGGAGAGGAAGGCACGGCUAACUCUGUGCCAGCAGCCGCGGUAAUACAGAGGUGCCAAGCGUUGUUCGGAUUUAUUGGGCGUAAAGGGUGCGUAGGCGGUUGUACAAGUCGGGUGUGAAAUUCCGGAGCCUAACUCCGGAACGGCAUUCGAAACUGUACAGCUAGAGAUCUGGAGAGGUGAUUGGAAUUCUCGGUGUAGCAGUGAAAUGCGUAGAUAUCGAGAGGAACACCAGAGGCGAAAGCGAAUCACUGGACAGAAUCUGACGCUGAGGCACGAAAGCUAGGGGAGCAAACGGG